CAGUAGCUUGGUGGUAGAGUAUCUGUCUUGCAUGCAGAAGGUUUCAGGUUCAAACCCUGGUAGGGAGG
Molecule: non-coding RNA, 68 nt
Organism: Podarcis lilfordi (Lilford's wall lizard)
Lineage: Eukaryota; Metazoa; Chordata; Lepidosauria; Squamata; Lacertidae
Source: the annotation of a GenBank genome assembly